This 253-nucleotide ribosomal RNA is filed under the name uncultured bacterium. RNAcentral's name for it is "partial 16S ribosomal RNA". It matches the Rfam family "Bacterial small subunit ribosomal RNA", at positions 524 to 776 of the family's 1533-position model. The record is from RNAcentral.
UACGUAGGUGACAAGCGUUGUCCGGAUUUACUGGGCGUAAAGAGCGCGCAGGCGGUCGUUCAAGUCGAGUGUGAAAGCCCCCGGCUCAACUGGGGAGGGUCAUUCGAUACUGAUCGACUCGAAGGCAGGAGAGGGUAGUGGAAUUCCCGGUGUAGUGGUGAAAUGCGUAGAUAUCAGGAGGAACACCCGUGGCGAAAGCGGCUCUCUGGGACGGUACUGACGCUGAGACGCGAAAGCGUGGGGAGCAAACAGG